UACGGAAGGCAGCAGGUGGGGAAUAUUGCACAAUGGGCGAAAGCCUGAUGCAGCUAUGCCGCGUGUAUGAAGAAGGCCUUAGGGUUGUAAAGUACUUUCAUCGGGGAGGAAAAAACAAAACUAAUAAUUUUAUUUCUUGACGUUACCCGAAAAAGAAGCACCGGCUAACUCCGUGCCAGCAGCCGCGGUAAUACGGAGGGUGCUAGCGUUAAUCAGAAUUACUGGGCGUAAAGAGCACGUAGGUGGUUUUUUAAGUCAGAUGUGAAAUCCCUGGGCUUAACCUAGGAACUGCAUUUUGAAACUGAAAUACUAGAGUAUCGUAGAGGGAGGUAGAAUUCUAGGUGUAGCGGUGAAAUGCGUAGAUAUCUGGAGGAAUACCUGUGGCGAAAGCGGCCUCCUAAACGAAUACUGACACUGAGGUGCGAAAGCGUGGGGAGCAAACAGGGAUUAGAUACC
RNAcentral lists this ribosomal RNA (456 nucleotides) under uncultured bacterium. RNAcentral's name for it is "bacterial SSU rRNA". It matches the Rfam family "Bacterial small subunit ribosomal RNA", at positions 340 to 786 of the family's 1533-position model. The record is from RNAcentral.